ACUCAAAUGAAUAGACGGGGGCCCGCACAAGCAGUGGAUUAUGUUGUUUAAUUCGACGCUACGCGAAGAACCUUACCAGGGCUUGACAUGGAGAAGACCGCUGUAGAGAUACAGUUUCCCCUUCGGGGGUUUCUCACACAGGUGGUGCAUGGUUGUCGUCAGCUCGUGUCGUGAGAUGUUGGGUUAAGUCCCGCAACGAGCGCAACCCCUAUUGUUAGUUGCUACGUGAGAGCACUCUAGCGAGACUGCCGUUGACAAAAGCGGAGGAAGGUGGGGACGACGUCAAAUCAUCAUGCCCCUUAUGUCCUGGGCUACAAACGUAAUACAAUGGCGUUUAACAGAGGGAGGCAAAGCCGCGAGGUGGAGCAAACCCCCAAAAGACGUCUCAGUUCGGAUCGUAGGCUGCAACUCGCCUGCGUGAAGUCGGAAUUGCUAGUAAUCGCGGAUCAGCAUGCCGCGGUGAAUACCGUUCCCGGGCCUUGUACACACCGCCCGU
This 496-nucleotide ribosomal RNA is filed under the name uncultured bacterium. RNAcentral's name for it is "bacterial SSU rRNA". It matches the Rfam family "Bacterial small subunit ribosomal RNA", at positions 899 to 1397 of the family's 1533-position model. The record is from RNAcentral.